CCUACGGGUGGCAGCAGUGAGGAAUAUUUGUCAAUGGACGAGAGUCUGAACCAGCAAAGUAGCGUGAAGGAUGACUGCCCUAUGGGUUGUAAACUUCUUUUAUAUGGGAAUAAAAUGUGCCACGUGUGGGCUUUUGUAUGUACCAUAUGAAUAAGGAUCGGCUAACUCCGUGCCAGCAGCCGCGGUAAUACGGAGGAUCCGAGCGUUAUCCGGAUUUAUUGGGUUUAAAGGGAGCGUAGGUGGAUUGUUAAGUCAGGUGUGAAAGUUUGCGGCUCAACCGUAAAAUUGCAGUUGAUACUGGGAGUCUUGAGUAAAGUAGAGGUGGGCGGAAUUCGUGGUGUAGCGGUGAAAUGCUUAGAUAUCGAGAAGAACACCGAUUGCGAAGGCAGCUCACUGGACUGCAACUGACACUGAGGCUCGAAAGUGUGGGUAUCAAACAGGAUUAGAUACCCCGGUAGUC
RNAcentral lists this ribosomal RNA (460 nucleotides) under uncultured bacterium. RNAcentral's name for it is "partial 16S ribosomal RNA". It matches the Rfam family "Bacterial small subunit ribosomal RNA", at positions 338 to 795 of the family's 1533-position model. The record is from RNAcentral.